This 273-nucleotide ribosomal RNA is filed under the name uncultured bacterium. RNAcentral's name for it is "partial 16S ribosomal RNA". It matches the Rfam family "Bacterial small subunit ribosomal RNA", at positions 29 to 279 of the family's 1533-position model. The record is from RNAcentral.
AACGAACGCUGGCGGCGUGGAUUAGGCAUGCAAGUCGAACGCGAAAUGCGGAGGGGUAACUCUCUGCAAAGUAGAGUGGCGAACGGGUGAGUAACGCGUGAGAAACCUGCCUUCAUCAGGGGGAUAACACUCCUAACGGAGUGCUAAUACCGCAUGAGACCACGGGAUCGCAUGGUCCUGAGGUCAAAGGUGGCCUCUAUUUAUAAGCUACCGGAUGAAGAUGGUCCGCGUCCAUUAGCUAGUUGGCGGGGUAAUGGCCCACCAAGGCGACGA